AGGUGUGGAUAGGGGAGAAAUUCCAAUCGAACCCGGAGAUAGCUGGUUCUCCUCGAAAUAGCUUUAGGGCUAGCCUCGAUACAGAUUUGCGGAGGUAGAGCACUGAAUUUCCUAGGGGGCGUCAAAGCCUACCGAAGAAUAUCAAACUCCGAAUGCCGCGUAAUCGAUUAUCGGGAGUCAGACUGCACGAGAUAAGUUGGGCGGUCAAAAGGGAAAGAGCCCAGACCUUCAGUUAAGGUCCCCAAGUGCGCGUUAAGUGGAAAAGGAUGUGGGAUUUCGAAGACAACCAGGAUGUUGGCUCAGAAGCAGCCAUCCAUUCAAAGAGUGCGUAAUAGCUCACUGGUCGAGAGGUCCUGCGCCGAAAAUGUCCGGGGCUGAAACGCGCCACCGAAACUAAGGAACCGAAAGGUUGGUAGAGGAGCAUUGCAUGCGGGAAGAAGCAGUACCGAAAGGAGCUGUGGACUGCAUGGAAGAGAGAAUGCCGGAAUGAGUAGCGAGAUAGAGGUGGGAAUCCUCUAGGCCGAAUAUCCAAGGUUUCCAGAGUAAAGCUGAUCUGCUCUGGGUAAGUCGGGGCCUAAGGCGAGGACGAGAGUCGUAGCCGAUGGACAACAGGUGGAGAUUCCUGUACUGCGGUAUGACAGAACUGUGGGGACACGUAAGGAAAGCGGAAGCCGGGAAUGGAAAGCCCGGUGCAAGCGGGGUACCAGUCACUUUGGCAAAUCCGGGUGGCAAUGGGAAGCCGUGAUGCGGAGCGAAAUAAAGUAGCGAAGUCCGUGAGCCAUGCGUCAAGAAAAGCCGCUAUCGUUUAUACCGUACCCGUACCGUAAACCGACACAGGUGGAUGAGGAGAGAAUCCUAAGGCCGGCGGAAGAAGCAUUGUCAAGGAACUCGGCAAAAUGGCCCCGUAACUUAGGGAUAAGGGGUGCCUGGGAAACCAGGCCGCAGAGAAUAGGCUCAAGCAACUGUUUAGCAAAAACACAGGUCUAUGCGAAACCGAAAGGUGAGGUAUAUGGGCUGACGCCUGCCCGGUGCUGGAAGGUUAAGAGGAGAGGUUAGCGCAAGCGAAGCUUUGAAUUUAAGCCCCAGUAAACGGCGGCCGUAACUAUAACGGUCCUAAGGUAGCGAAAUUCCUUGUCGGGUAAGUUCCGACCCGCACGAAAGGCGUAAUGAUUUGAGCGCUGUCUCGACAAUGCAUCCGGUGAAAUUGAAGUACCAGUGAAGAUGCUGGUUACCUGCGCCAGGACGGAAAGACCCCAUGGAGCUUUACUCCAGUCUGGUACUGGGACUCGGUAUUGCAUGUACAGGAUAGGUGGGAGGCUAGGAGAUGGUAACGCCAGUUGCCAUGGAGCCGCUGUUGGGAUACCACCCUUGCAGUAUUGGGUUUCUAACCAGCCGCCGUGACCCGGCGGUGGGACAAUGCCAGACGGGGAGUUUGACUGGGGCGGUCGCCUCCGAAAGGGUAUCGGAGGCGCCCAAAGGUUCCCUCAGAAUGGACGGAAACCAUUCGAAGAGUGCAAAGGCAGAAGGGAGCUUGACUGCGACACCGACGGGUGGAGCAGGUACGAAAGUAGGGCUUAGUGAUCCGGUGGUAUUAAGUGGGAAUGCCAUCGCUCAACGGAUAAAAGCUACCCUGGGGAUAACAGGCUUAUCACUCCCAAGAGUUCACAUCGACGGAGUGGUUUGGCACCUCGAUGUCGGCUCAUCGCAUCCUGGGGCUGUAGUAGGUCCCAAGGGUUGGGCUGUUCGCCCAUUAAAGCGGUACGCGAGCUGGGUUCAGAACGUCGUGAGACAGUUCGGUCCCUAUCCGGCGUGGGCGUAGGAUAUCUGAGAGGAGCUGUCCUUAGUACGAGAGGACCGGGAUGGACGGGCCGCUGGUGCAUCGGUUAGACUGCCAAGUCUACGGCCGAGUAGCCAAGCCCGGAAGGGAUAAACGCUGAAGGCAUCUAAGCGUGAAGCCCCCCUUAAGAUGAGAUAUCCCAUUCGAAAGAAGUAAACCCCCUUGAAGACGACGAGGUAGAUAGGGCAGAGGUGGAAGUGCAGUAAUGCAUGGAGCUGACUGUUACUAAUCGGGUGAGGGCUUGACCAA
RNAcentral lists this ribosomal RNA (2086 nucleotides) under human gut metagenome. RNAcentral's name for it is "bacterial LSU rRNA". It matches the Rfam family "Bacterial large subunit ribosomal RNA", at positions 807 to 2925 of the family's 2925-position model. The record is from RNAcentral.